Molecule: long non-coding RNA, 445 nt
Organism: Telopea speciosissima
Lineage: Eukaryota; Viridiplantae; Streptophyta; Magnoliopsida; Proteales; Proteaceae
Exons: 2
Source: RefSeq, a predicted model, not a curated record
AGAGUUUCGCAUUCAGACCAUAAAAAACGUAGGCUUGAAUCUGCUCCCUGGUGUUGCUGAGUUUAUAGAAAGCAUCAGCAGCUUUGUUUGCCGAAGCACGAUAUUGAAUGGAUGCAACCACAGUAAACUAGCCAUGAACCUUAGUCUUUGUUUCACAUCGAACAUCAAGUUGCUUCACACGCAAUGAAAGGUUCCCAGCUAACUGACUCCCAAAACACCAAGGCAAGAAGUGACAACCAGGCUCAAGCACACCAGCAAACUUUCCAAAGGUCUCCUUGAUGGCUACGGUUGACUGGUCCACUUGAAUACAGCAAACUGAUUGUCCCAUAUUUGACUCUGCCAGCUAAAAAAGACCAUGAAGAUCAAUAGAGAACAAAACAGAGGAGAAAAAACCCAAGAUGCUUUAUGAAUGCUUAAUCAGCAACAUAACCAGGAAUGAAUUCCA